UUACCUUUGCCAACACUCUGGCCUUUAUCCCUUUCCAUUCACGGAGAGCCAUCACCAGGAUAAUGUCUGCCUAUUUUGAUGCAAAGAAGAUCAAACCGACACCUUACUCACCACGGCAUCUACUCUUUAUUUUUUUCCUCCAUGGAUGCAGUGGUCCAUAUCCUUUUUGUGUCUACAA
Molecule: small nucleolar RNA, 178 nt
Filed under: Fonsecaea pedrosoi CBS 271.37
Lineage: Eukaryota; Fungi; Ascomycota; Eurotiomycetes; Chaetothyriales; Herpotrichiellaceae
Description: Small nucleolar RNA snR80
Rfam family: Small nucleolar RNA snR80
Source: Rfam by way of RNAcentral